Molecule: ribosomal RNA, 392 nt
Filed under: Serinibacter arcticus
Lineage: Bacteria; Bacillati; Actinomycetota; Actinomycetes; Micrococcales; Beutenbergiaceae
Description: bacterial SSU rRNA
Rfam family: Bacterial small subunit ribosomal RNA
Source: RNAcentral
AUGGUGGGGACUCAUAGGAGACUGCCGGGGUCAACUCGGAGGAAGGUGGGGAUGACGUCAAAUCAUCAUGCCCCUUAUGUCUUGGGCUUCACGCAUGCUACAAUGGCCGGUACAAAGGGCUGCGAUACCGCGAGGUGGAGCGAAUCCCAGAAAGCCGGUCUCAGUUCGGAUUGGGGUCUGCAACUCGACCCCAUGAAGUCGGAGUCGCUAGUAAUCGCAGAUCAGCAAUGCUGCGGUGAAUACGUUCUCGGGCCUUGUACACACCGCCCGUCAAGUCAUGAAAGUCGGUAACACCCGAAGCCAGUGGCCCAACCUCUUGUAGGGGGGAGCUGUCGAAGGUGGGAUUGGCGAUUAGGACUAAGUCGUAACAAGGUAGCCGUACCGGAAGGUGC